AGAGUUUGAUCCUGGCUCAGAUUGAACGCUGGCGGCAUGCCUUACACAUGCAAGUCGAACGGCAGCACGGGAGCAAUCCUGGUGGCGAGUGGCGAACGGGUGAGUAAUGUAUCGGAACGUACCUUUCAGUGGGGGAUAACGUAGCGAAAGUUACGCUAAUACCGCAUAUUCUGUGAGCAGGAAAGCAGGGGAUCGCAAGACCUUGCGCUGAUUGAGCGGCCGAUAUCAGAUUAGCUAGUUGGUGAGGUAAAGGCUCACCAAGGCGACGAUCUGUAGCGGGUCUGAGAGGAUGAUCCGCCACACUGGAACUGAGACACGGUCCAGACUCCUACGGGAGGCAGCAGUGGGGAAUUUUGGACAAUGGGGGCAACCCUGAUCCAGCCAUGCCGCGUGAGUGAAGAAGGCCUUCGGGUUGUAAAGCUCUUUCAGCCGGGAAGAAAUCACAUGGGUUAAUACCCUGUGUGGAUGACGGUACCGGAAUAAGAAGCACCGGCUAACUACGUGCCAGCAGCCGCGGUAAUACGUAGGGUGCGAGCGUUAAUCGGAAUUACUGGGCGUAAAGCGUGCGCAGGCGGUUUGUUAAGAUAGGCGUGAAAUCCCCGGGCUCAACCUGGGAACUGCGUUUAUGACUGGCAGGCUAGAGUAUGGCAGAGGGGGGUGGAAUUCCACGUGUAGCAGUGAAAUGCGUAGAGAUGUGGAGGAACACCGAUGGCGAAGGCAGCCCCCUGGGCCAAUACUGACGCUCAUGCACGAAAGCGUGGGUAGCAAACAGGAUUAGAUACCCUGGUAGUCCACGCCCUAAACGAUGUCAACUAGGUGUUGGGUGGGUAAAACCAUUUAGUACCGGAGCUAACGCGUGAAGUUGACCGCCUGGAGAGUACGGCCGCAAGGUUAAAACUCAAAGGAAUUGACGGGGACCCGCACAAGCGGUGGAUGAUGUGGAUUAAUUCGAUGCAACGCGAAAAACCUUACCUACCCUUGACAUGUCCAGAAGCUCUUAGAGAUUUGAGUGUGCCCGAAAGGGAACUGGAACACAGGUGCUGCAUGGCUGUCGUCAGCUCGUGUCGUGAGAUGUUGGGUUAAGUCCCGCAACGAGCGCAACCCUUGUCGUUAAUUGCCAUCAUUUAGUUGGGCACUUUAACGAGACUGCCGGUGACAAACCGGAGGAAGGUGGGGAUGACGUCAAGUCCUCAUGGCCCUUAUGGGUAGGGCUUCACACGUCAUACAAUGGUCGGCACAAAGGGUUGCCAACCCGCGAGGGGGAGCUAAUCCCAGAAAGCCGAUCGUAGUCCGGAUCGUAGGCUGCAACUCGCCUGCGUGAAGUCGGAAUCGCUAGUAAUCGUGGAUCAGCAUGUCACGGUGAAUAC
RNAcentral lists this ribosomal RNA (1367 nucleotides) under metagenome. Its description in RNAcentral is "bacterial SSU rRNA". It matches the Rfam family "Bacterial small subunit ribosomal RNA", at positions 8 to 1369 of the family's 1533-position model. The record is from RNAcentral.